GAUGAACGCUGGCGGCGUGCCUAACACAUGCAAGUCGAGCGAUUCUCUUCGGAGAAGAGCGGCGGACGGGUGAGUAACGCGUGGGUAACCUGCCCUGUACACACGGAUAACAUACCGAAAGGUAUGCUAAUACGAGAUAAUAUACUUUUAUCGCAUGGUAGAAGUAUCAAAGCUCCGGCGGUACAGGAUGGACCCGCGUCUGAUUAGCUAGUUGGUAAGGUAACGGCUUACCAAGGCGACGAUCAGUAGCCGACCUGAGAGGGUGAUCGGCCACAUUGGAACUGAGACACGGUCCAAACUCCUACGGGAGGCAGCAGUGGGGAAUAUUGCACAAUGGGCGAAAGCCUGAUGCAGCAACGCCGCGUGAGCGAUGAAGGCCUUCGGUCGUAAGCUCUGUCCUCAGGAAGAUAAUGACGGUACUUGAGGAGGAAGCCCGGCGUAACUACGUG
Molecule: ribosomal RNA, 449 nt
Filed under: uncultured bacterium
Lineage: Bacteria
Description: bacterial SSU rRNA
Rfam family: Bacterial small subunit ribosomal RNA
Source: RNAcentral